AACGAACGCUGGCGGCAUGCCUAACACAUGCAAGUCGAACGAGACCUUCGGGUCUAGUGGCGCACGGGUGCGUAACGCGUGGGAACCUGCCUUUAGGUUCGGAAUAACUCAGAGAAAUUUGAGCUAAUACCGGAUGAUGUCUUCGGACCAAAGAUUUAUCGCCUUUAGAUGGGCCCGCGUUGGAUUAGCUAGUUGGUGGGGUAAAGGCCUACCAAGGCGACGAUCCAUAGCUGGUCUGAGAGGAUGAUCAGCCACACUGGGACUGAGACACGGCCCAGACUCCUACGGGAAGCAGCAGUGGGGAAUAUUGGACAAUGGGCGAAAGACUGAUCCAGCAAUGCCGCGUGAGUGAUGAAGGCCUUAGGGUUGUAAAGCUCUUUUACCCGAGAUGAUAAUGACAGUAGCGGGAGAAUAAGCGCCGGCUAACUCCGUG
RNAcentral lists this ribosomal RNA (433 nucleotides) under uncultured bacterium. Its description in RNAcentral is "partial 16S ribosomal RNA". It matches the Rfam family "Bacterial small subunit ribosomal RNA", at positions 29 to 507 of the family's 1533-position model. The record is from RNAcentral.